UUAACUUUGUAGUAUUUGCAUGUCAAUUCACUGAAAAUCUUACACGUCAAAUUCCUCUUCGGCCAAAUUGUUACACGUCAAAAUCUUACCGCAACUCCUGUCUUUACCUAAAUGUUUUCCCACUUUACACUCCAGUUGCAUUCUGCCUUUGUUCUCUGUUGCUCCCUUUGUUCUCUGUUGCCAAUUCCUCUGAUUCUAUUAAGAGUCUGCCAUGAUGAACCAACGACUCUCUGUCGAUGCUAUCACAAAAGAAACUACAGGUUGGACCUGUAAGAUUCAGGUGGUGGACAAGUUCCGACCUCUCGAGAGCAAAGAUCAAAGUGUACAGUUUCAGACAAUGCUUGUCCAGGAUGAAAGCUUAAGUUCGCCUAGACGCAUGUUCUUACUGAAAAAUGGUGCUCAUACUCAUGCUGUUUUUAAAAAAUUUAUCACCUACAACACCUUCGCAAAUUGUCAGUUGAAGCCCGGAACAACAGGUUGUCGUAGUACUUUACGGUGAUGAUAUUCCCAAGUAUGAGAGCCUAUUUGCUCUUUCCAAUACAUAUUUGGUUUCCUGUGCCAAAGUUAGAGAUCCCCGCGGUUACUCAAUACACGCUGUUACUUACGAAUGGGUGGUCGACAGACACAGUUGUUGAGGCCGAUACCAAUAACGGUGGGACGGAACUACCCGUCUCCUCCAAGAAAGUUGAACACACUUCCUUUUGCAGCUAUGGAGCACCUACGUCCAGGUGUUGAAUUUGACUUACUUGCAGUAGUAGCUAACUGCGGUGCGCAACAGCAUACCACCGACCAAAGUAAACACUUUCGCGAGGCAAUUGUAAUGGAUCAGAGGUCAGUUACUCCCCCGCUUCUGCUUAUUAAAAAAUAUUGGCAACGUAAAUAUUUAUAUGCCUGUUGUAUCGAUCAGCAAGAAACCUGCCCUAUUUACUAUAUGGGAUGAUUUAGCCGACAAUGAAGGCACUAUAUUACUAGAUCCCUUGCAUGAGCACCCCGUCAUUCUUGCUAAGCAUAUAGGCGUUACUGAGUUUCGCGGUGGUAUGUUGUUUACAUCGGUCUCUGUAACUCUUCCCUUUUACCUCUGCGCUUAUUUCCCUUUGUUCAACUACAUACCUCUCUAUCUCUAUCAUAUGCAGCUAUAAUAUUAUCCAUAAGAUAUCAUACAACGAUCUUAGUGAAUCCUAAAUACGUGUAGGCUGCUACAUUGAAGAAGUGGUACCUAUUAACUUAUCCACUCAUCGACAUGCUGUGCUGUUCAAACACUUUUAGUAAAAAGAAAUACUCACUAUUUGACCUGCUUUUUUCCAGGGUGGAGGACAAUGAACAAAUGCUAAUAUCUUACACUUUACGCAGCCCAUCGGCUUCACUUUCAUCACUAAAUCUUGCAGCUAUUGAAGAUGAAGUGUUGCCCAUAUCUAACAUUCCAGAUUGUCAUCUACGGUACAGACUUUUCCUGUGGAAGGCAGGAUAUCACUUCCUGAUCGUCCCCAAUCGUUUUACCUACUCGCUUGCUCACACUGCAACCUCUUUGUACGCAUCAAGAUUAAAAAGUUGGUGUGGUGCUUCAACUGUAAGCUAGAACGAAUGUUGGUACCCAGGUGCCACUUUGAGCUAACAUUCUGGACGCCAGUGAUACAAUUACUGUGACUGUCUCAGAGACAGUGGCAGAAACUAUGCUGUCCCUCACUGCCGAACAAAUAUAUGAAAAUGUUGCUGCCAAGAGAGAACCACUGUCUACUGUGCGUAUAAAUCAACAGUUUGAUCAUAAAUUGUCUAGACUCCAACUACAAAAGCCAAUCUACAGGUUUCCCGACCAAACACCUGGUAUGCUAGCUGUUGCAUCCUUCACUGAAGCAGAAACCCCGGUUCUCAAAGCAUUAUCAUUACCAAUGGCUUCUGGAGAAGCAGGUAAGAAGCAGAAAGUCGAACCGUCCACUCCAACGAAACAAGCCUAAAGGUAAAAAUAUUUUCACUAUAUUGUUUACUUUAGUAUUCCACUUCCCCUUUAGCUUCUUACUCCGAACAUUUGCAUUAAAUGACAUGUGAAAAGAAGCCACAAAUAUUGUAAUCUUCGCAUCAAAUCAUGUUCACACCUCAAUUCUUUAGUAUUACUAAGGCAAAUAGAAAUUAAUUUGUCUCCCUCUUU
Molecule: long non-coding RNA, 2143 nt
Organism: Capsicum annuum
Lineage: Eukaryota; Viridiplantae; Streptophyta; Magnoliopsida; Solanales; Solanaceae
Exons: 7
Source: RefSeq, a predicted model, not a curated record